UGGUGCCAGCACUGCGGUUAGACUGAGGAGGAGAUUAGAAGUGUUCGGGCUAUAGUUUGGUGAUUUCCUUAUUGCUAUUAUGUUUUAGUUGGGGGUGAAAUUUUUAACUAAAUAGAUAAUUUUAAAAUAGGAUUUGCUGAGGCUAUUAAGAUUUAAAUAGAAACUGGGAUUAGAUACCCCAUUAUUUUAAAAUAAAAAAGUGUCUACUUGAUUAGUAUUUGUUAUGUGCUUGAAAUUUAGAGAAUUUGGCGGUAUUUAAGUCUGGUUAGAGGAACCUGCUUCUUAAAACGAUAAACCACGAAGUAUCUUAUUUUUCUUUGUUUUCAGUUUGUAUACCUCCAUUAUUAGGUGUAGUUAAGAAACUUUUACUUUAAUAUAGAGUUUUAUUUAUAGGAUAUUAGGUCAAGGUGCAGCUUAUGGGAAAAUUGAUUGUGGGUUACAUUUUUAUUUUAGAUUCGAAAAGGAAGUUGAAAUUUUUUCUUAGAAUUGGAUUUAAUUGUAAUUUUUAUUUAAUAUGUAAAAUUGAUAUUAGCUCUUAAAUAUGUACAUAUCGCCCGUCGCUCUCAUCAUUAGUUGAGAUAAGUCGUAACAAAGUAGGA
This 599-nucleotide ribosomal RNA is filed under the name Sandimenes hirsutus. Its description in RNAcentral is "partial 12S ribosomal RNA". Lineage: Eukaryota; Metazoa; Arthropoda; Malacostraca; Decapoda; Palaemonidae. The record is from RNAcentral.